Molecule: ribosomal RNA, 73 nt
Filed under: Phycisphaerales bacterium
Lineage: Bacteria; Pseudomonadati; Planctomycetota; Phycisphaerae; Phycisphaerales
Description: partial 16S ribosomal RNA
Rfam family: Bacterial small subunit ribosomal RNA
Source: RNAcentral
CAACUGAAGAGUUUGAUUCUGGCUCAGAUUGAACGCUGGCGGCACGCUUAACACAUGCAAGUCGAACGGCAGC